UACGUAGGGUGCAAGCAUUAAUCGGAAUUAUUGGGCGUAAAGGGCGCGUAGGCGGAUUGAUAAGUCAGAUGUGAAAUACCAAAGCUCAACUUUGGUGCUGCAUUUGAAACUGUCUCUCUAGAGGAUUGACGGAGAAAAUGGAAUUCCACAUGUAGCGGUGAAAUGCGUAGAUAUGUGGAAGAACACCAGUGGCGAAAGCGGUUUUCUAGCUAUUACCUGACGCUGAGGCGCGAGAGCAUGGGGAGCAAACAGG
Molecule: ribosomal RNA, 253 nt
Filed under: uncultured bacterium
Lineage: Bacteria
Description: partial 16S ribosomal RNA
Rfam family: Bacterial small subunit ribosomal RNA
Source: RNAcentral